This is a long non-coding RNA of Triticum dicoccoides, 1014 nucleotides long. RefSeq lists it as uncharacterized. The record is from RefSeq and is a predicted model, not a curated record. Lineage: Eukaryota; Viridiplantae; Streptophyta; Magnoliopsida; Poales; Poaceae. The transcript has 2 exons.
UAAUUUAUUAAAGUUGAUGUAAGAGCUGCAAGGAGUCUUGGUAUAGGGGGCAUAUCGACCUCCUGUAGACAGAGACAGACACGGACCACUUGAAUCAUCGUCGGCCUUGGCAUAUAGAGAAUGGAAGAGUGAGGUUGAAUCCACUGACGGGGAAGGCGUUACUAUCCACUUGGAUUAAUUAAAUUCAGAUUUGGGUUACUCCCUCUAAUCCAAAAUAAGUGUUCGAAACUGUGACAUUUAUCUUAGACCGGAGGGAGUAUGUGCUAGCAGGAUCAUGCAAUGGUAUAUGAGAUCCAAAGCACACGAGGAGGACUCUGAAGAAUUGAAGUGGUGGACCAUGGUCAAGUCAAUCACCGAGUCUUCCACCCAGGCUACCUGCAGGGAGGGAAAGUAUAUUAGAUCUUUUCAGUAUUUCAGUGAGCUUUGGGAAGUGCUCACCGGACCACUCACCGACCCUCCUCACGGAAAUCACCUGAAUGAUCCAUGUUUUUCUUCGAAAAGGAGGAUGUUUUCACAAGCUCGAGUCGACCACAUCGCACUUUGAAAUGCACUUACAGAAAGCUGUUGGUUCCGAAGAAGAAGAGGGGUAAGCAUUUCUGUGGUCUCAUCCAGGAACAAAAGGAGGCACUGGAGAAUCUGACGAAGACACUCGAGAGCUGUAGCUGGCAUGUUGCCGAGUGCCACGGUGGUAUUUAGAUGCUGACAAAACUGAUGGCGUACAUCGCCAAAUUGUUCAGGGCGGACGGUUUCAAAGGCGAGCUCGAUGGCUGUAACAUCAGGGAAGCCCUUCUUAGAUCCACUGGACUCUGCCGGUUAAGCUUCAUGCUCGAGAGCCGCAAAUCCAACCAGGGCAAUGGACUGCUUAACACAGUUCAGGGAUUGGUUCUGGGAGAAGGAAUGCUAGGGGUUAAUUUUUGGGUCUUCGUCAUGGAAAGAACAACCUGAAGAAAUGUAGUCACUUCUUAUCUUGUGUCUGCCUUGUAAUUGAUUAUAGAAAGGAAAUGGGUUCUCUGA